RNAcentral lists this ribosomal RNA (351 nucleotides) under uncultured soil bacterium. Its description in RNAcentral is "bacterial SSU rRNA". It matches the Rfam family "Bacterial small subunit ribosomal RNA", at positions 26 to 373 of the family's 1533-position model. The record is from RNAcentral.
AGAUUGAACGCUGGCGGCAUGCCUUACACAUGCAAGUCGAACGGCAGCACGGGGGCAACCCUGGUGGCGAGUGGCGAACGGGUGAGUAAUGCAUCGGAACGUGCCCAGUAGUGGGGGAUAACUAGUCGAAAGAUUAGCUAAUACCGCAUACGACCUAUGGGUGAAAGCGGGGGAUUCGGACAAGAACCUCGCGCUAUCGGAGCGGCCGAUGUCUGAUUAGCUAGGUUGGACGGGUAAAAGCCCACCAAGGCUUACGAUCAGUAGCUGGUCUGAGAGGACGACCAGCCACACUGGACUGAGACACGGCCCAGACUCCGUACGGGAGCAGCAGGUGGGUAAUUUUGGACAAGU